This 604-nucleotide ribosomal RNA is filed under the name Rhodosporidiobolus colostri. RNAcentral describes it as "partial large subunit ribosomal RNA". It matches the Rfam family "Eukaryotic large subunit ribosomal RNA", at positions 38 to 636 of the family's 3401-position model. Lineage: Eukaryota; Fungi; Basidiomycota; Microbotryomycetes; Sporidiobolales; Sporidiobolaceae. The record is from RNAcentral.
GCAUAUCAAUAAGCGGAGGAAAAGAAACUAACAAGGAUUCCCCUAGUAGCGGCGAGCGAAGCGGGAAGAGCUCAAAUUUGUAAUCUGGCGCUUUCAGCGUCCGAGUUGUAAUCUCUAGAAAUGUUUUCCGCGUUGCACCGCACACAAGUCUGUUGGAAUACAGCGGCACAGUGGUGAGACCCCCGUUCAUGGUGCGGAUGCGCAAUGCUUUGUGAUACAUUUUCGAAGAGUCGAGUUGUUUGGGAAUGCAGCUCAAAUUGGGUGGUAAAUUCCAUCUAAAGCUAAAUAUUGGCGAGAGACCGAUAGCGAACAAGUACCGUGAGGGAAAGAUGAAAAGCACUUUGGAAAGAGAGUUAACAGUACGUGAAAUUGUUGGAAGGGAAACGCUUGAAGUCAGACUUGCUGUUCGGAGUUCAGCCGCAAGGUGUACUCUCCGAGUUGCAGGCCAGCAUCAGUUUUUCGGGGUGGAAAAUCACGGUUUGAAGGUAGCAGUUUCGGCUGUGUUAUAGCUUUCCGUUGGAUACAUCCUGGGGGACUGAGGAACGCAGUGUGCUUUUAGCAGGGGUUUCGACCUCUUCACACUUAGGAUGCUGCAGCAUGCGUG